GGACCCGCACAAGCGGUGGAGCAUGUGGUUUAAUUCGAAGCAACGCGAAGAACCUUACCAAAUCUUGACAUCCUCUGACCCCUCUAGAGAUAGAGUUUUCCCCUUCGGGGGACAGAGUGACAGGUGGUGCAUGGUUGUCGUCAGCUCGUGUCGUGAGAUGUUGGGUUAAGUCCCGCAACGAGCGCAACCCUUAAGCUUAGUUGCCAUCAUUAAGUUGGGCACUCUAAGUUGACUGCCGGUGACAAACCGGAGGAAGGUGGGGAUGACGUCAAAUCAUCAUGCCCCUUAUGAUUUGGGCUACACACGUGCUACAAUGGACAAUACAAAGGGUAGCAAAACCGCGAGGUCAAGCAAAUCCCAUAAAGUUGUUCUCAGUUCGGAUUGUAGUCUGCAACUCGACUACAUGAAGCUGGAAUCGCUAGUAAUCGUAGAUC
This 434-nucleotide ribosomal RNA is filed under the name uncultured bacterium. RNAcentral describes it as "bacterial SSU rRNA". It matches the Rfam family "Bacterial small subunit ribosomal RNA", at positions 917 to 1350 of the family's 1533-position model. The record is from RNAcentral.